RNAcentral lists this long non-coding RNA (654 nucleotides) under Equus asinus (donkey). RNAcentral describes it as "lncRNA (ENSEASG00005038599.1, ENSEASG00020037847.1)". Lineage: Eukaryota; Metazoa; Chordata; Mammalia; Perissodactyla; Equidae. The record is from RNAcentral.
AUCCAAAUCUCACAAUAACCUCACAAGAUAAGAAACAUUAUUUCCAUUUUGUAGAUGAUGGGAUUGAAGCAGGGAGUGGAACUACAGGACCAGUUUAAACUGGCCCCAUCUUAUCAAUAACAGAAUGUUAAAGUUAUCUUGCAGGGGCAGUGGGCCAAAACUGCAAGUUAUAGCUGGAGCAGAGGCAGAGGAGAAAAUUUUGACCUGAACCAAAGAUUCUCCCCCCAUGGGAUAAAAGCACCAAGACACAACAUGAACUCAAAGCUGGACUCUCUUCAGAAGUGGGUCUGUUGUCCAGAAAGAUUUGGUGCCAGUGCCGUACUGUUGGCUUCUCUGCGCAUCGGCAGCAGACCCGGUAACAGGAGUUUAAGAAACUUGUCCGUUGUUAUGCAGAUAAUAAGUGGUAAAGCCAGGAUGUAAACUGGUUUCAAGUCCAGCCUACUAAACCACAGCUGCCUCGAAAUAGGAAUGUUUUUGAAAAGGUCAUUGCUGUUGCCCCUCUAGACCAUAAGCAACUUGAAGAGAACAGGUACUGGUGUCUCCAGUACCCAGCAUAGUGUUGGAAUAAAGCAGUGACUUGGAACCCUCCCAGAACCCACCAGCAGCCCUGUGGACUCCAUCACCUCAAUAAGGUCUGGGUUUCUCACGGAAGAG